ACAGUAGCACCCCUGGCUGCUCCCAAUCACCAGGCUCAGCAGGAUCAGAUGCAUUAACAUCUUCCUGGGCAUAAAGAAGGUGACCACCUACAGUACAGACAGCCCCCUGGUCUAACCCUGAUGACAACACAGGAGAACAAAAAGGCUCAGCCUGUGGGGGUCAGCAGCAGGGAGCACAGUGCCCCGAUGGCAUCUGCAGCAUUAUCAGCAGCACAUUUUGCCAAUGAAUACCAUGCCUCAUUUGCAGCCACACCAGACUACCAUCUCCAAGCAACACACCAUACUUCUGAGCACGUGGCUGCAGCCUGCAGCAGUGACCUUCUUCCAAGCUGCCUCGCCUGUCAAAAUCCCAGCCACUGCUACCCUCCUGGUCUACUGCUACCCUCCUGGUCUCUUCCUGUAUUGUCACAUUUUAAAUCUCUCUUCAGAAAAAACAACUGCCUUUUGAACAAUUCUACAGUUCAGACCCAACCUA
This is a long non-coding RNA of Calypte anna (Anna's hummingbird), 475 nucleotides long. RefSeq lists it as uncharacterized. The record is from RefSeq and is a predicted model, not a curated record. The transcript has 3 exons. Lineage: Eukaryota; Metazoa; Chordata; Aves; Apodiformes; Trochilidae.